This 314-nucleotide ribosomal RNA is filed under the name uncultured bacterium. RNAcentral describes it as "bacterial SSU rRNA". It matches the Rfam family "Bacterial small subunit ribosomal RNA", at positions 28 to 334 of the family's 1533-position model. The record is from RNAcentral.
GAUAGACGCUGGCGGCGCACAUAAGACAUGCAAGUCGAACGGACUUAACCAUUAGUUUACUAUUGGAGCGGUUAGUGGCGGACUGGUGAGUAACACGUAAGCAACCUGCCUAUCAGAGGGGAACAACAGUUAGAAAUGACUGCUAAUACCGCAUAUGCCUUAGCAACACAUGUUGCAAAAGGGAAGGAGCAAUCCGCUGAUAGAUGGGCUUGCGUCUGAUUAGUUAGUUGGUAGGGUAACGGCCCACCAAGACGAUGAUCAGUAGCUGGACUGAGAGGUUGAACGGCCACAUUGGGACUGGAGAUACGGCCCAG